AACGAACGCUGGCGGCAGGCCUAACACAUGCAAGUCGAGCGCGCCCUUCGGGGUGAGCGGCGGACGGGUGAGUAACGCGUGGGAACGUGCCCUUUUCUACGGAAUAGCCUCGGGAAACUGAGAGUAAUACCGUAUACGCCCUUUGGGGGAAAGAUUUAUCGGAAAAGGAUCGGCCCGCGUUGGAUUAGGUAGGUGGUUGGGUAAUGGCCUACCAAGCCGACGAUCCAUAGCUGGUUUGAGAGGAUGAUCAGCCACACUGGGACUGAGACAGGGCCCAAACCUACUCAGGAGGCAGGAGUAGGGAACACUAGGCCAAGGGGGGAAGCCUGAACCUAGCCUGCCGGGUGAGGGAUUGAGGGCUUUAGGGUUGUAAGGCCUUUUAAGUGGGGAGAUUAUGACGGUACCAGCAGAAGAAGCCCCGGCUAACUCCG
This 431-nucleotide ribosomal RNA is filed under the name uncultured bacterium. RNAcentral's name for it is "partial 16S ribosomal RNA". It matches the Rfam family "Bacterial small subunit ribosomal RNA", at positions 29 to 505 of the family's 1533-position model. The record is from RNAcentral.